Molecule: transfer RNA, 65 nt
Filed under: Curculionoidea sp. 22 KM-2017
Lineage: Eukaryota; Metazoa; Arthropoda; Insecta; Coleoptera
Description: tRNA-Thr
Source: RNAcentral
GUUUUAAUAAUUUAAACCAAAAUACUGAUCUUGUAAAUCAGAAAUAAGAAAUUUCUUUUAAAACU